Felis catus (domestic cat) is the source of this 1595-nucleotide long non-coding RNA. RefSeq lists it as uncharacterized. The transcript is spliced from 3 exons. NCBI's taxonomy places the organism in Eukaryota, Metazoa, Chordata, Mammalia, Carnivora, Felidae. The record is from RefSeq and is a predicted model, not a curated record.
UGUGAAGUUUCAAGAGAAAAGGUUUGAGGAGCUCGCAGAGUCUGAUGGUAUUUACAGAUGUGUCCUAGGACAUCAAAAAUCGAGGAUGGAAGAAACCUAAUAGCGUAGUCAGAGGAAGCCUUCCGCUCUUCCAAAAAACACCACUCCCUCUGUUUCUCAAAGUUAACGUAUUCAUUCUUAUUCCCCAGAGAUAGUGGCUGCAGAGGGCAAACAGCAUCUUAAUGUUGUCGCUAAUGGGGGAAAUAGAACUAGGAUAUACACGAAUAACAGCAAGAUAUGUGAUAAAUGCUGGAAGAGGUGCAAAGAACGAGGGAGGUGGAGCUUCUUUGGAUCAGCAACCCGGUCAUCGAGUCCCAAUAUAAAAGCUCCUGCCACAAACCUCUCAGGUUGGCCGACUUCCACCUCAGAAGGUGCCAAAUGGUAUUGUCUCUCCCAAAUACCUCCUCUCAUUGGUUUCAGGAUGAUUCUAAAUGUUAGAGGAUUUUCUGAGCUGAAGUAUGUUACUUUGCAGUUUCCGUUGGUUUCAUUUCUACACUUGGGAGACAUAGAAUAAACAUUUGUUGAACACCUACUGUGUGCCAAACACCAACCUAGAAGAUUCUAAAACAAGUAACACCUGGAAUCUGUCUAGUGGAGGACUCAGACAGUCCAGGACAAAGUCCAAAAAGUGACAUUGCUGGGCCUGAACAACCACUCCUAAAGUGUUGGAAUUAGGCAGAUGGAUUAAGGGAGAGCAACACCAGCGAACAGAAAUUCUUUAAUGUCUCACCCUGAGCCCCAUGGUGGAUAAGUCUCAAAGCCGGCCCUAUAGCAGAAGGCAGUGCUCAGAUCACUGAUGGCAGUGGAAGAGAAGAGCCUCGAAUGCCAUGAUCAGUAAGACCUCUCUGCAGGCACGCUCAGCUUUCUUGUCUCUCUGGCUGGCAGGGCUUGUACCCCCAGGAUCACUGCUGGUGACUUCCUCCAGGGUUUGCGUCAUUUAAAAUUAUUUGGACGUCUUCAAGGGACCUGCGGGACAAUCACACUAUCCCUCUGCAGGGUCCUUUCUCCCAGUUUGUACUCUGCAGUUCAACCCAGUAGCUUCCCAGCAGCAUAUUUAUACUCUUCUCUUAGACUCUUUUCUUCUUUUCUGUAGUCGGGUCAGUUUUAGAACUGCUAUCCACGUGAUUAUUAAUAAUAAAAGAGACCUGAUGCCACCACAACGCUUCAAAAGUGAUGUACCUUGCCGUUCUCUUAAUCCUGGAUGUGUUGGAUUGAUUACAAAUCAAAGAAGCCUACGUAAUAAUGGCUAUUGGGCACAUAAAUACCUCUCAGUUCUGAAGUAGCUGCUAACGCUGCUGACAAGUACAUGAUUCAGGCCUUCUGUUUCUCUUUGUUGUAUGAAUCGUGAGCUUUCUUGGGUUUAAAACGGUUUCAGAAAAUGUGGAUGGAAGGAAGCGAUUACGCAAGGUUCUUUAUUCUUAUGUAAGGCAUUGUAAUAGGAGCCUUCUCUUGUGAGAGCCCGGAUAGCUCAGUCGGUAGAGCAUCAGACUUUUAAUCUGAGGGUCCAGGGUUCAAGUCCCUGUUCGGGCGCUUUGCUUUAACUUCCGCCUUCCUUU